This 219-nucleotide long non-coding RNA is filed under the name Ananas comosus (pineapple). Its description in RNAcentral is "long non-coding RNA (ACOM_LNC009319)". Lineage: Eukaryota; Viridiplantae; Streptophyta; Magnoliopsida; Poales; Bromeliaceae. The record is from RNAcentral.
UUAAUUUUAAUUUAUAAUUUGAAUAUUAAAUUUAAAUUUAAGUUUAAUAUUCGAAUUCAAAAUCAAAAAUAGAUUUUAAGAAGUAUGUUUUAAUUGUUUGUAGUGUUUCGGAGGUUUGGAUAGGAUUGGCUAUAGUAUUAGUGACUGGUCGACACAUCUGAUGAGUGUCGGACUGAGUCGAAGUCGUUUCUGCACGAAAUGGAUGCAGAAAUGGACUUG